Molecule: long non-coding RNA, 2406 nt
Organism: Rosa chinensis
Lineage: Eukaryota; Viridiplantae; Streptophyta; Magnoliopsida; Rosales; Rosaceae
Exons: 2
Source: RefSeq, a predicted model, not a curated record
UAGAGAUUUUGCUAGUAGUGCUUCUUCCACUGGGCCUUCUCUUCAUUCUCCAGAAAUUGUUCCCAAUCAUGUUGCUAGCCUCAUCCCUCUCAAACUCACCAAAGACAAUUAUCUUCUUUGGAAGGAUAUCACCACUUGGCACAAGCGUCUCGGUCAUCCCUCGCCUCAAGCUCUCGUGUCUCGUCUCUCAUCAUCUGUUAAAUGUUUUAGGUUCUAGUAGUCCUCCACCUUUGUGUUUAGAUUGUCAAUUAGGCAAGCGUACCAAACUUCCCUUUGUGAAUCAUCUUGUACUACAACUACACCUUUGCAGGUCAUCCAUUCUGAUGUUUGGGGUCCUGACCCUAUUUUAUCUAUUAGUGGAUUUAAGUAAUAUAUAUGUACUCCUUUUGACGACUGGUCAGAACAAAAUGGAAUGGCAGAAAGAAAACACCGACAUUUAAUGGCAAAGCCAACACGACGCCGUUCGCCGCCGCUCCUAUCACCACAGCAUUUCUUUCUCUCCCUUCGUUUCCUCUUCUUCUUCUCUUUCUCUUCGUCUCUGCUUCUUUUCUGUUUCGUAUAUUCUUUCCUCUGCUCUUUUGUUACCACUUCACUGUUCACUCAACUUUCUCUGAUGGUGCUUCGUUUCGAGGUUUUGGGGAGGUUCAAUUGUGCUCGUGCAGCUCAGCUGACACUCCCUCACUUUGUACGUCAGACUCCUCUUUCCAUGCCUAUUGGAACACAAGGUUAGUGUUUUGUUUUAACUGACUGACGUUUGGUUAGCAAUUAGAUGUUAUUCCUCAUAUGUAUUUCUCUGGUCUCUCUAUAUGCUAACUAGAAUGCAAUAUACAUUACUAGAUUGGUUGUUUAUGUCUAUAUCCUACUUCUUUUUCUUAGCUAAGUUUUGAUGUUCAAUAGACUUCGUUUAAUGGUUACAUUCUUGUUUAGUCGUCGAUAAGAGUAUAAGACAUAACAAUCUAUGUGCCGGCACAAGUUUUUAGAUUUGUGCCAACAUGUUCUCUGUUUGGAAAAAUGGCAUGUUCUCUGUUUCUUUGUCACAGGCUUAAACAAACUCUUCUCAUUAUGCCUUCAUUUACUUUCUUGCUUCAUACACUCUGCAGACUAAGCAACUAUUUACCCUUGUCCUAAUAAUCAAGGGAUUUGGGAACUUUCAAUUGGAAAAUCGAAAGUUGUUUUUAUGAUUUUUUCUUCGAUCUCGUCUGUAGUUAAUGUGUUAUCGAUCUGCGAAGAUUCUGCUAUCCACCUAGGUGAGGGUCACCUGGUGACGUGGCAGAACGACAGCCGCCGAUCGGUUGGUCCAGGCCAUAUGUCAGGCUGGUCAGACCUAAUUUGACUAACGUGGAAGUCCCCGUUACCGUCUUCUUAGAAACGGGUUUGAAGAAAAAAAAAUUGCAACUUUGAUUCAGAGACAGAGAGAGAGAGAGAACGGGUAAAAAGUGGGUAAAAUCCCAAUAAUAAAGAAUGACAUCUCUGGAGCUAUUGUUCUUCUUCUUCUUCUUCACCGCCCCCGUGCUCGGAUACAAGCUCCCCAAACCCGAAAAUUCAUCUCUAUGAUUGAGGUAGAAACGAGGGGGUAAAAGCCUCAGUUCAUUGAGGUAGAAAGAAGUCGAGGUACCUCCCUCUGGUACCCUCCCCAAAGCCAUAUCACCGAUCAUGGGAUCGGUUAAUCCCAUUCUCGCCUCCGCCGAAAAACCAAGAAUUUCGAAGAAGAACUGGUGCAGAUUAAAGAAUCAGCCCCCUCCGACUUAUCAUUCAAAGCAUUCGACGAUCCCACUCCCUUUGCAUGUUGAAGACCGCUUCCAAGCCUGGAGCUGAUUCCAAGCAGAAAUAUGUUCAUACUGUCACAAAAACUGAGGUACCCAUCUUAAAUUUUGAUUGCUUUUUACCUUGAAUUUGUGUUCUUUGAUUGGUUUUCCAAUUGGGUCAAUCGGGUUUCUGAGUUGCAGCAAUAAACAAGAUUAGUUGAUAUCGGAUUAGGGAUAUCUCGAAAAAGUUGGUGUAUUUGAUUUUGGUUCUGGUUCUGGACUAACAGAAUCGUGUGUAGCACGGGAAAAUCCAUACAGGUUGAAUGGUUGGUUGACUGGGUUGAGACCUAAUGCUUGUCAGCAAGGUUUCGUGGCCAUAGGAGGUUAAUAUGCAGAUAAAGAGAUACUUGAUGUGAGGUGAAAGAUCGGAUCGGAGUUGGAUGACAGGGGGUGGUUUGGAUCGAGGAUUGGUGGCCAUCGUCAGUUUCGGUGGUUCUGCGUUCCUUGCAGAACUCAAAAUGGGCCUGGACUUGGUGGUUCGAAAUGGGCCUGGACGUUCGAAGGGCCUAGGCGCUUGCCAUGGGCUUGGGUUUUUUUUGUUUUUAUUUAUUUUGUAUGUAUUUUUAUUUUUUAUGAAUAAAUAAACUACACUUUGUUAUCU